Gymnodraco acuticeps is the source of this 263-nucleotide long non-coding RNA. RefSeq lists it as uncharacterized. The transcript has 3 exons. NCBI's taxonomy places the organism in Eukaryota, Metazoa, Chordata, Actinopteri, Perciformes, Bathydraconidae. The record is from RefSeq and is a predicted model, not a curated record.
CUUUUACUGGACCAGGUAACACGGGGUCGAUGAAACCGACGAUGUGUGGGCAGCACAUCGAGAGAUCGUGUUUCGAACAAUCAACAAUGCCCGCUAAGGAGAGAGAGUAAAAGCUUUCUCGAAGGCUUUGCAUUUGAACUCCUAUGACUGGUUACGGACUUGAAGGGAACGUCUUCCUGACAUCCAGGAAAAUGUAGAAAUCUACUGGAACCUAACACCAGAGAGAGGGAGGAGAUGAUAUGCAGCAAAAGGCCCAGCCGGAU